RNAcentral lists this ribosomal RNA (320 nucleotides) under uncultured Prevotella sp. Its description in RNAcentral is "partial 16S ribosomal RNA". The record is from RNAcentral. Lineage: Bacteria; Pseudomonadati; Bacteroidota; Bacteroidia; Bacteroidales; Prevotellaceae.
GGAGUUUGGUCCGUGUCUCAGUACCAAUGUGGGGGACCUUCCUCUCAGAACCCCUACUGAUCGUUGCCCCGGUGGGCCGUUACCCCGCCGGCAAGCUAAUCAGACGCAUCCCCAUCCCUUACCGAUGAAUCUUUGCUCCUCAUCUGAUGCCAUCAAAGGAGAACAUAGAGUAUUAAUCCGACUUUCGCCGGGCUAUUCUCUACUAUGGGGAAGGUUGGAUACGCGUUACUCACCCGUGCGCCGGUCGCCAUCAUCGGUUGCAAGCAACCGACAUGCUGCCCCUCGACUUGCAUGUGUUAAGCCUGUAGCUAGCGUUCAUC